AUGCCUAGGAAUCUGCCUGGUAGUGGGGGAUAACGUUCGGAAACGGACGCUAAUACCGCAUACGUCCUACGGGAGAAAGCAGGGGACCUUCGGGCCUUGCGCUAUCAGAUGAGCCUAGGUCGGAUUAGCUAGUUGGUGAGGUAAUGGCUCACCAAGGCGACGAUCCGUAACUGGUCUGAGAGGAUGAUCAGUCACACUGGAACUGAGACACGGUCCAGACUCCUACGGGAGGCAGCAGUGGGGAAUAUUGGACAAUGGGCGAAAGCCUGAUCCAGCCAUGCCGCGUGUGUGAAGAAGGUCUUCGGAUUGUAAAGCACUUUAAGUUGGGAGGAAGGGUACUUACCUAAUACGUGAGUAUUUUGACGUUACCGACAGAAUAAGCACCGGCUAACUCUGUGCCAGCAGCCGCGGUAAUACAGAGGGUGCAAGCGUUAAUCGGAAUUACUGGGCGUAAAGCGCGCGUAGGUGGUUCGUUAAGUUGAAUGUGAAAUCCCCGGGCUCAACCUGGGAACUGCAUCCAAAACUGGCGAGCUAGAGUAUGGUAGAGGGUGGUGGAAUUUCCUGUGUAGCGGUGAAAUGCGUAGAUAUAGGAAGGAACACCAG
Molecule: ribosomal RNA, 603 nt
Filed under: Pseudomonas chlororaphis
Lineage: Bacteria; Pseudomonadati; Pseudomonadota; Gammaproteobacteria; Pseudomonadales; Pseudomonadaceae
Description: bacterial SSU rRNA
Rfam family: Bacterial small subunit ribosomal RNA
Source: RNAcentral